Molecule: unclassified non-coding RNA, 227 nt
Filed under: Stemphylium vesicarium
Lineage: Eukaryota; Fungi; Ascomycota; Dothideomycetes; Pleosporales; Pleosporaceae
Also listed under: 1 other name
Description: partial contains small subunit ribosomal RNA, internal transcribed spacer 1, and 5.8S ribosomal RNA
Rfam family: Eukaryotic small subunit ribosomal RNA (bases 1-46)
Source: RNAcentral
AAGUCGUAACAAGGUUUCCGUAGGUGAACCUGCGGAAGGAUCAUUACCAAUUGCGGGCGAGGCCUAGCCUCCCCGCGAACCUUCUCAUCCCUUUAUGGUGUACCUUUGUUUCCUCGGCAGGCUUGCCUGCCAGCGAGGACCCCCAACAAACCUUUUUGCAGUAAGAAGUAUACGUCUUAUCAAAAACAAAUCGUUUACAACUUUCAACAAUGGAUCUCUUGGUUCUG